UACAGAGGGUGCAAGCGUUAAUCGGAAUUACUGGGCGUAAAGCGAGCGUAGGUGGCUUGAUAAGUCAGAUGUGAAAUCCCCGGGCUUAACCUGGGAACUGCAUCUGAUACUGUCAGGCUAGAGUAGGUGAGAGGAAGGUAGAAUUCCAGGUGUAGCGGUGAAAUGCGUAGAGAUCUGGAGGAAUACCGAUGGCGAAGGCAGCCUUCUGGCAUCAUACUGACACUGAGGCUCGAAAGCGUGGGUAGCAAACAGGAUUAGAUACCCUGGUAGUCCACGCCGUAAACGAUGUCUACUAGUCGUUGGGUCCCUUGAGGACUUAGUGACGCAGCUAACGCAAUAAGUAGACCGCCUGGGGAGUACGGCCGCAAGGUUAAA
Molecule: ribosomal RNA, 375 nt
Filed under: uncultured bacterium
Lineage: Bacteria
Description: bacterial SSU rRNA
Rfam family: Bacterial small subunit ribosomal RNA
Source: RNAcentral